This 428-nucleotide ribosomal RNA is filed under the name Chloroflexota bacterium. Its description in RNAcentral is "Chloroflexi bacterium partial 16S ribosomal RNA". It matches the Rfam family "Bacterial small subunit ribosomal RNA", at positions 355 to 776 of the family's 1533-position model. The record is from RNAcentral. Lineage: Bacteria; Bacillati; Chloroflexota.
UGGGGAAUAUGCACAAUGGGCGCAAGCCUGAUGCAGCCAUGCCGCGUGUAUGAAGAAGGCCUUCGGGUUGUAAAGUACUUUCAGCGGGGAGGAAGGGAGUAAAGUUAAUACCUUUGCUCAUUGACGUUACCCGCAGAAGAAGCACCGGCUAACUCCGUGCCAGCAGCCGCGGUAAUACGGAGGGUGCAAGCGUUAAUCGGAAUUACUGGGCGUAAAGCGCACGCAGGCGGUUUGUUAAGUCAGAUGUGAAAUCCCCGGGCUCAACCUGGGAACUGCAUCUGAUACUGGCAAGCUUGAGUCUCGUAGAGGGGGGUAGAAUUCCAGGUGUAGCGGUGAAAUGCGUAGAGAUCUGGAGGAAUACCGGUGGCGAAGGCGGCCCCCUGGACGAAGACUGACGCUCAGGUGCGAAAGCGUGGGGAGCAAACAGG